Molecule: ribosomal RNA, 603 nt
Filed under: uncultured bacterium
Lineage: Bacteria
Description: bacterial SSU rRNA
Rfam family: Bacterial small subunit ribosomal RNA
Source: RNAcentral
CCAGACUCCUACGGAGGCAGCAGUGGGGAAUAUUGCGCAAUGGGGGCAACCCUGACGCAGCCAUGCCGCGUGAAUGAAGAAGGCCUUCGGGUUGUAAAGUUCUUUCGGUAGCGAGGAAGGCAUUUAGUUUAAUAGACUAGGUGAUUGACGUUAACUACAGAAGAAGCACCGGCUAACUCCGUGCCAGCAGCCGCGGUAAUACGGAGGGUGCGAGCGUUAAUCGGAAUAACUGGGCGUAAAGGGCACGCAGGCGGUGACUUAAGUGAGGUGUGAAAGCCCCGGGCUUAACCUGGGAAUUGCAUUUCAUACUGGGUCGCUAGAGUACUUUAGGGAGGGGUAGAAUUCCACGUGUAGCGGUGAAAUGCGUAGAGAUGUGGAGGAAUACCGAAGGCGAAGGCAGCCCCUUGGGAAUGUACUGACGCUCAUGUGCGAAAGCGUGGGGAGCAAACAGGAUUAGAUACCCUGGUAGUCCACGCUGUAAACGAUGUCGAUUUGGGGGUUGAACUUUGAGUUUGGCGCCCGUAGCUAACGUGAUAAAUCGACCGCCUGGGGAGUACGGCCGCAAGGUUAAAACUCAAAUGAAUUGACGGGGGCCCGCACAAG